RNAcentral lists this ribosomal RNA (497 nucleotides) under uncultured bacterium. RNAcentral describes it as "partial 16S ribosomal RNA". It matches the Rfam family "Bacterial small subunit ribosomal RNA", at positions 28 to 507 of the family's 1533-position model. The record is from RNAcentral.
GAUGAACGCUGGCGGCGUGCCUAAUACAUGCAAGUCGGGCGAACGGACGAGAAGCUUGCUUCUCUGAUGUUAGCGGCGGACGGGUGAGUAACACGUGGAUAACCUACCUAUAAGACUGGGAUAACUUCGGGAAACCGGAGCUAAUACCGGAUGAUAUUUUGAACCGCAUGGUUCAAAAGUGAAAGGCGGUCUUGCUGUCACUUAUAGAUGGAUCCGCGCUGCAUUAGCUAGUUGGUAAGGUAACGGCUUACCAAGGCAACGAUGCAUAGCCGACCUGAGAGGGUGAUCGGCCACACUGGAACUGAGACACGGUCCAGACUCCUACGGGAGGCAGCAGUAGGGAAUCUUCCGCAAUGGGCGAAAGCCUGACGGAGCAACGCCGCGUGAGUGAUGAAGGUCUUCGGAUCGUAAAACUCUGUUAUUAGGGAAGAACAUAUGUGUAAGUAACUGUGCACAUCUUGACGGUACCUAAUCAGAAAGCCACGGCUAACUACGUG